GGACCAGGAUUAGAUACCCUGUUACUUUCGGUGUUAAGUAUAAAUUUAUUUUGCUGGGCAACUACGCCUUAACGGGUAAAAGUCGAAGUGCUUGGCGGUUCAGGAUACCCACCCCGUGAGACUUGACGGUUAAUCCGAUGAUCCGCGUUACACCGUACUUACCCUUAAGCUGGUGUAUGGUCGUCGUAAGCUUUAACUGUAAGGUGUAUGGCCAGAGUCUUAAUGUUGGAAUGAAGUCAGAUCGUUAUGCUGCAAUCGGGUAAGGCUUAGUUGAGUCACAUUUAUUAGAUUUCGGAACGUUUAUAAGAAAUGAUAGCGGGAAGAAGGAAUGGGAAGUAAUAAGAAAAUAGUACGUUCUUAUGAAUGGGGAACUUCUGAGUGUACAAAUCGCCCGUCGUUUCCGGGGAGACUUGGAAU
RNAcentral lists this ribosomal RNA (417 nucleotides) under Barbatia reeveana. Its description in RNAcentral is "partial 12S ribosomal RNA". It matches the Rfam family "Bacterial small subunit ribosomal RNA", at positions 769 to 1419 of the family's 1533-position model. The record is from RNAcentral. Lineage: Eukaryota; Metazoa; Mollusca; Bivalvia; Arcoida; Arcidae.